This 549-nucleotide ribosomal RNA is filed under the name uncultured bacterium. RNAcentral describes it as "bacterial SSU rRNA". It matches the Rfam family "Bacterial small subunit ribosomal RNA", at positions 355 to 896 of the family's 1533-position model. The record is from RNAcentral.
UGGGGAAUUUUGGACAAUGGGCGCAAGCCUGAUCCAGCCAUGCCGCGUGUCUGAAGAAGGCCUUCGGGUUGUAAAGGACUUUUGUCAGGGAAGAAAAGGCUGUUGCUAAUAUCGACAGCUGAUGACGGUACCUGAAGAAUAAGCACCGGCUAACUACGUGCCAGCAGCCGCGGUAAUACGUAGGGUGCGAGCGUUAAUCGGAAUUACUGGGCGUAAAGCGAGCGCAGACGGUUACUUAAGCAGGAUGUGAAAUCCCCGGGCUCAACCUGGGAACUGCGUUCUGAACUGGGUGACUAGAGUGUGUCAGAGGGAGGUAGAAUUCCACGUGUAGCAGUGAAAUGCGUAGAGAUGUGGAGGAAUACCGAUGGCGAAGGCAGCCUCCUGGGAUAACACUGACGUUCAUGCUCGAAAGCGUGGGUAGCAAACAGGAUUAGAUACCCUGGUAGUCCACGCCCUAAACGAUGUCAAUUAGCUGUUGGGCAACUUGAUUGCUUAGUAGCGUACCUAACGCGUGAAAUUGACCGCCUGGGGAGUACGGUCGCAAGAUUA